GGCUGAAUAGCUCAGUGGUAAGAGCAGUCGCCCGGAAAACGAAAGACUCGGGUUCGAAUCCCGAUUUAGCGA
Molecule: non-coding RNA, 72 nt
Organism: Camponotus floridanus (Florida carpenter ant)
Lineage: Eukaryota; Metazoa; Arthropoda; Insecta; Hymenoptera; Formicidae
Source: Rfam